RNAcentral lists this unclassified non-coding RNA (407 nucleotides) under Hevea brasiliensis (rubber tree). The record is from RNAcentral. Lineage: Eukaryota; Viridiplantae; Streptophyta; Magnoliopsida; Malpighiales; Euphorbiaceae.
UUCGGUUGACCAUAAUCCUGUCUAAUGCCUCCUGAACUAUCCUUUCAGAUUCUGCAUCGAGUGCACUUGUGGCUUCAUCUAAAAGUAAAAUCCUUGGAUCUUUAAGGAUUGCUCUUGCUAUUGCAAUUCUUUGCUUCUGUCCUCCAGAUAGCUGAGUUCCAUGCUCACCAGCCAUGGUGUCUAGUCCCUGAGGUAGUUUGUCAAUGAAUUUGGCAGCAUUGGCAAGUUCAGCCGCAGCUCUUAUCUCCUCAGUCGUUGCCCCAUCUUUUCCAUAUGCAAUAUUAUCCCUAAUGCUGACUGUAAACAACACAGGUUCUUGGCUGACGAGUCCAAUUUUUUCCCUAAUCCACUUUAGCUGGAACUCUUUGAGGUUGAUGCCAUCAAUGAGAACUUCACCAGCUUGUGGA